GAUGAACGCUGGCGGCGUGCCUAAUACAUGCAAGUCGAGCGAACAGACGAGGAGCUUGCUCCUCUGACGUUAGCGGCGGACGGGUGAGUAACACGUGGAUAACCUACCUAUAAGACUGGGAUAACUUCGGGAAACCGGAGCUAAUACCGGAUAAUAUAUUGAACCGCAUGGUUCAAUAGUGAAAGACGGUUUUGCUGUCACUUAUAGAUGGAUCCGCGCCGCAUUAGCUAGUUGGUAAGGUAACGGCUUACCAAGGCAACGAUGCGUAGCCGACCUGAGAGGGUGAUAGGCCAAACUGGAACUGAGACACGGUCCAGACUCCUACGGGAGGCAGCAGGAGGGAAUUUUCCGCAAUUGGCGAAAGCUUGACGGAGCAACGCCGCGGGAGUGAUGAAGGUCCUCGGAUCGUAAAACUCUGUUAUUAGGGAAGAACAAAUGUGUAAGUAACUAUGCACGGCUUGACGGUACCUAAUCAGAAAGCCACGGCUAACUACGUG
RNAcentral lists this ribosomal RNA (497 nucleotides) under uncultured bacterium. RNAcentral's name for it is "partial 16S ribosomal RNA". It matches the Rfam family "Bacterial small subunit ribosomal RNA", at positions 28 to 507 of the family's 1533-position model. The record is from RNAcentral.